AGUUGUUAUCCAUGGGGAAUAUUUGUCUUGAAAACAAAUCUUGAGUGUUCGAAUCACUCAACAACUU
This 67-nucleotide transfer RNA is filed under the name Naticarius hebraeus. RNAcentral's name for it is "tRNA-Ser". It matches the Rfam family "tRNA". Rfam says of the family: Transfer RNA (tRNA) molecules are approximately 80 nucleotides in length. Lineage: Eukaryota; Metazoa; Mollusca; Gastropoda; Littorinimorpha; Naticidae. The record is from RNAcentral.